CUAAUUCUUUUUGAACAAUUUUUAGUCUGAACUCUAGAUAAUUCCUUCCAAGAAAGCAAAAAGAACACGUGGCUCUGCUCCAUUGUUCAAGAGUGUAUUGUUCUUAGGACGAGGAAGAGAAAACAGGCCUAAAUGCAAUGCACUAUUAAGUCAUGAUGUAACAGCAAUCCCUCACAUAAAUAUCUUACUGGGAAGAAACGCUGCCAGAAACAGCAGAGAAAUUGGAACUGCGGAGAGAUGUAGGAGCUGAAAAGACAUCAGAAACCAAAUCUACGGCCUCUCUCGAAGUCAUGUUCCUGUCGUGGCAUUCUGUCUUUCGCAUAAAGUGAAACCUUAAACAACAAACCUUGACAAUUUUAUUCGGGAUCAGACACUUUAGGAUUGGACAAGAGCAGCUUGAGAUGAGAAAGUAUGAGUCCAAAUUGGAGAAGAAUUAAAAUCCAAACAGUUGAAUGACUAAGACUCGGAAAAAGUGGAGAGCAGGGAAGUUCAGGAGACCUAGAGGAAAAGAGAACAAUUUUCUCUCUAUGAUACUACAAUCAAUAUGGAUCAUCUGUCUCUCCUUUUGAGAUUGCAACUUUCCAGAAGAGAGAAUCUGACUGUUCCAAUCAAGUCAGCUUUUCACUCCAGGAUAAAACUGCUAUGGCCAGAGGAUAAUGCUCUCUACGUAACAGAAAAUAAGGACACAGAUAUCCAGACUGUAUCUUACAGUUUCUAUCAUAGAAGAAAGACUCAAUCUCUGAGUUAAAAACAACCUUGAGAAGAACUUUGGCCUGACAUGGGUCAAGUGCCCACUCUUGACUACCAAUAACUUUGACCAGUGGAGUAGAAAAAGCAGAACAUGGCACCCUCUUCUCUUGUUCUGUAGAAUAGAGACACAUUCUACUAGAAUAGAUUCCUUAGAAAAUAACACUAUAGAUGUCCAUCAAAAUAUCCAUAGACUCAUAGGGUCUCUUACAUAGAAACCCAAUGUAUACUAGAAGUAAGCAUAGCAAGGCAGAUAAGGUAUUUAAUUUUUUGUGGGGGUUGCUUUUUAGAAAAGAAAUUUUCAAAAAAAAUAGAAGCCUUUGGACUUUCGUAACUGUGAAGAUAGUUGCAGAGACUGUGGUCAUACGCAUCAUCAGGAACUCUCCCUGAGAAAAGAUUAUUUAAGUGUUUAAUUGCACCCAGAGGACUUCUGCCUAACCAUCUCUCUGGAUGAGUCAUUCCUCAGAGUGCUUUGGCUACCCAAAAUCCUCGGCUAGGCUGGCCAACAUGAAGACUGAAUUUGAUACAGCUUUUUCUUCAAUAUGUAGUCAAUGUGAUUUGAGUUAAAUUGCCAACAUUAUUGACACUUGCUAUAGGCCCCCACCAUUGACCCUUCCUUAAUCACAAUUGAAGUAUAGUUCUGAUGGGAGUAACUAAAUCAUGGUGGUGUAAUAAAUAAAUGUACAGUUGGGUUCUAGCUCUAGCUUUUUAAUUGACCAGUUAUGCGGUUGAGGCUAUUUUUUUAAUCUCUCCAAAAUUAAGAGUUCAAUUUAUAGAAUAUUUUGGAUGAGUCUAAAGCCUCUUCUUGUUCAUCAUUGAAGGAAUCUAUGGCCUCUUGAUGUCCCUGUUUGGUUUCUGGACUUUAUAGUCUUGCAGGGAAAAGUUAUGUGUACACAUAUUUAAAAUAUUCUCUAUAUUCCAAAAGCUGUGAGGCUGGAAAUACAGAUAACUAAGAGCAGUUUUCAUUAUAGAUAGCCUCUCCAUUUUUCUUUUCUACCUCUCCUUAACAUCUGGCUUCAUUCAGUGGCAUGAGAGAAACAGCUAGAUUAAAAGGAAAAUAAAACCAAAACCAAAAACACAACCUACCUCUACCGAAUGCAAUCAAUGGACACGAGCUAUUCCUGGAGUUGAACACCUGCUCCAUUUCUUUUCAUCUGUAUUUUCUCCAUCUGUUCUAAUUAUGUCCCUUUCUUGGGAGUAAGAGAACUGCUACUGUCUGGUGCCAUGUAAGGGUGAGAAAGGUUAAUUAACACUGAAGACAGAUCCCAAUUGCCCCUGCAUCACACCCCUGUCCAUAUGCAUUAGACUGUGAAGGGGUGCCCACCUUUCCCAUGACCUGGUGCUGCUCAUGAAUUUGUGUCUGCUCCUCUUAGUCUCUUACAUGGCUCCCUUCUUUCCUGAGCUGUCUCCAGAGCAUUGAAUCCAAAGGCACUCAUCCAUGCUAAAGUGGCAAAAUGCCUUAGUCAUAUGGAGGGGGUAUGUCCUAGAGAGUAGAAAAAAGCAUAUAGAACUGCCUUCUGCAGCACUCUUAGAUCCAACCAGCAGUAAGAGCUGUGACCCAAGUGAGUUAAGAGUUAAGUUCAUUUAUUCACACAGUGGCUUGAAGAGUUAGGCAAUGCUAUGAUCACUUUGCAGAAUGAGAGUAAGAGACUUGAGAUAAAGUAGUUUACUAAUCGUCACACAAGUAGCAAGAUAAACACAUAUAUACAUACUUUUGUGUAUAAACACAUGUUAUAUACAUGUAUGUAUAUAAUGUAUGUAUAUAUAUGUUUGUCUUGCUACUUGUGUAGCAAUAUCUCUCUCUCUCUCACACACACACACACACACACACACACACAAACACAUACACAUAUUUGUUUAAUGCUUAAAAAUGCCUUCACCCUAAAUUUGAAAGCAGGGACUUUACUGUAGUUCACCACUGAAUUCAUAGCACCUCGCAGGUUCAUGAUUAACAAUUAUUCAGUAAAUGACUUCAAUAAAGACAAAUUAUUGUCUGUGUUUAUUGAUAUGAAAUCAUAUUUAUUGAGUACAAACACUGCACUGUAAGGUAAAGUGAGCAUUACUGGAAAAGUAGAAGGCAUUGCUAAAGGAUUUUAAAGUAGAUUUAAGAAGGUAGCACAAAUGAAAAUUUAAUGUUCAAAUAUUCUUUCAUUUAUUUCUCAAAUAUAUAUUCAAUAUCUACUCUAUGUGAGGAAAUGUACUUGUUGCUUGAUCUGAAAUAAUAAACUCAUGUUUUUAAAUCCACAAAUGUAGCCUGCAGACAUAUACAACUAAAGAGGAUAGUAUGCUAUCAACAGACAAAUGAUGAAGAAAAAUAGGUAAGUAGAGCUACAGAAAUAGAGAAUAGAUAGGUACCUUUGAAUCCAUUGGCUCUCUAAGUCAAAAAAGGCAGCCUGGAGAAAGUGGUGUUUAAGGACACAUAGAUGUCACAGAGGCAAUGAAAGUUAGGGGUGCCAAUCAUUUCAGUAAGAAAAAACAGCAUGUGCCCAGAAAUGAAAAAAAUAAUAAUAUAUAUUAUUUAGUAUAGGUAGAGGGUAGAGUUUGAGGUGAGAAAUCCUAAGAUAUAAAGAUAGGCAGAUAAGUUUUGACCCUUCCAGAUUUGAUAUUCAAAUGUGGUCCUAGAACAAGCAGCAUCAGCAUCACCUGGAAGGUCAGCAAGUGAGAAACUUAAGGCACAUCAUUUAAGGAGACACGCCCUCUUAGAUUCAUGCAAGCAUAGGAUUGGCACUAGUACUGCCCUGACAGUGAGUAUCUCUUUAAAUUUUUCAUCUGGGGAUGUCUCACUUAGCUUACCCUAGUCCUGGGCCUGCACCCCAGGCCCAAUGAAUCAGAAGCUAUAUUUUAACAAGAUGCCCAAGUGAUGUGCAUGCACAUUACAUUUGGCAGGAACUGCUCUCAAGAGUUUGUAAACCAUGCUUGAGUUUACAGAUUGUCCUGGGAACAAUGGCUAUUAUGUUUCAGGAUUUAAGCAGGUGGAGGUUCCUGUUUCAUUUAUAAAGGUUUAUCUGUGGCAGUGUGGAUAGCAUGCUAGAGCAGGCCAUGUCAGGAGUUAGAGAAGCGGAUUAGGAGGCUGUAAUACUGAUCCAGGACUGAAGGGGAAGUCAGUUUGUGGGGUGUUUGACCACAUUUAGUGAGUGGUUGAAGUGUGACGUAACAAUGAAGGAAAAAUCAAGAACACCCGGUUCAUGGCUACAGUAACAAGUGGUUGGGAGUACCACUCACUGAGGUAGGGAAAAAGAAAAUAAGACAGGAAAGGAGAGAAGGUGAUGAGUUAACAUCUGGAAAUGUUAAAUUUGAUAAAUUUUAGAUUAUCCAGCAUGAUGUAUGGGUGUCCAGCUCAUGAAGAGAGAUGAGACACAAGUAUGGAUCUCAAACCUGUCACCCCUAAAUGGAAAUUAAGGCUGUUGAAAGAGAGAAAAUGUUUAGAGAGAAUCUAGAGAAUAAGAGAGGUUAAAGAUGUUUUAGAAUGUGAAAUACAAACCAUUAGGUAAUAACUAAAUAAUUAUUUUCAUUUUGGAAACUAUUUUCACACCCAAUAUAUCAUUUGAACAACAUAAGCUUUUGGGGGAAUAGCCAAGGCAUUAUUAUUAUUCUCAUUUCACAGAUUCUAGGGCUUGUAAUUUUUAGGUUGUUUUGGCUAGCAAAUUAUCCAGUUGAAUACACCUAGAGCAG
RNAcentral lists this long non-coding RNA (4419 nucleotides) under Homo sapiens (human). RNAcentral describes it as "HSALNT0154660". The record is from RNAcentral. Lineage: Eukaryota; Metazoa; Chordata; Mammalia; Primates; Hominidae.